GCGGGCGUCAGCUGACUGUUCUGCUGCCACCGCCGCUGCUGCUGCUGCCGCCGCGACCCGGCGGGGCCGCCGCCGCCGUCGCCGCCGCCGCCGCCGCCGCCGCUGCUACCAUGGCUCAAUACAAGGGCGCCGCGAGCGAGGCCGGCCGCGCCAUGCACCUGAUGAAGAAGCGGGAGAAGCAGCGCGAGCAGAUGGAGCAGAUGAAGCAGCGCAUCGCGGAGGAGAACAUCAUGAAAUCCAACAUUGACAAGAAGUUCUCUGCGCACUACGACGCGGUGGAGGCAGAGCUCAAGUCCAGCACCGUGGGUCUUGUGACCCUGAAUGACAUGAAGGCCAAGCAGGAGGCUCUGGUGAAGGAGCGGGAGAAGCAGCUGGCCAAGAAGGAGCAGUCCAAGGAGCUGCAGAUGAAGCUGGAGAAGCUUCGAGAGAAGGAGCGUAAGAAGGAAGCCAAGCGGAAGAUCUCCAGCCUGUCCUUCACCCUGGAGGAGGAAGAAGAGGGAGGCGAGGAGGAAGAGGAGGCAGCUAUGUAUGAGGAGGAGAUGGAAAGGGAAGAGAUCACCACGAAGAAGAGAAAACUGGGGAAGAACCCAGACGUGGACACAAGCUUCUUGCCUGAUCGAGACCGUGAGGAGGAGGAGAAUCGGCUUCGGGAAGAGCUGCGGCAGGAGUGGGAAGCCAAGCAGGAGAAGAUCAAGAGCGAGGAGAUCGAGAUCACCUUCAGCUACUGGGAUGGCUCUGGGCACCGGCGGACGGUCAAGAUGAGAAAGGGCAACACCAUGCAGCAGUUCCUGCAGAAGGCGCUCGAGAUUCUUCGGAAAGACUUCAGUGAGCUCAGGUCCGCAGGGGUGGAGCAGCUCAUGUACAUCAAGGAGGACUUGAUCAUCCCACACGUGAGUCCCUUCAGUCCCAGGACCCACAGUGGGUGCUGCGCCCUGGGCUUUGGCUCAGGCUGGUGGGGGUGGUGUGCGCAGGCGGGGGGGGGGGGGGGGGGAGGGGCCGAGAUGGGCCAUCAAAGCGCCACUUUCCUGCCCUUGACUCCCAGCAUCACAGCUUCUACGAUUUUAUCGUCACCAAGGCACGGGGGAAGAGUGGGCCGCUCUUCAACUUUGAUGUUCAUGACGAUGUGCGGUUGCUCAGUGACGCCACUGUGGAGAAGGAUGAGUCACAUGCAGGCAAGGUGGUGCUGAGAAGCUGGUACGAGAAGAACAAGCACAUCUUCCCUGCCAGCCGCUGGGAACCCUACGACCCUGAAAAGAAGUGGGACAAGUACACGAUCCGCUGAGCAUCUGGGAGGCUGCGCAGCCUUGGCUCCUCAGCUCCCUCAGCGUGCCCCGUGGUGUCCCCGGGACUCCAGGCACCUGCUCCCCUGCGACCAUGCCAGGCACGCUGGGAAGGAGGAUGGCAGCUGCUUGUGUCCUGCCCCCGGCACGUCAGUGACUGCUUUAUUCUUUUCCAAUAAAGAAGUGCACAUGUGAGAGCUGGAGCGCCUGCAGUGUGAGAAGCCA
This is an RNA transcript of Piliocolobus tephrosceles (Ugandan red Colobus), 1505 nucleotides long. It is a transcript of the gene named family with sequence similarity 50 member A, with no coding region annotated. The record is from RefSeq and is a predicted model, not a curated record. Lineage: Eukaryota; Metazoa; Chordata; Mammalia; Primates; Cercopithecidae. The transcript is spliced from 12 exons.